RNAcentral lists this long non-coding RNA (863 nucleotides) under Heterocephalus glaber (naked mole-rat). Its description in RNAcentral is "lncRNA (ENSHGLG00100041956.1)". The record is from RNAcentral. Lineage: Eukaryota; Metazoa; Chordata; Mammalia; Rodentia; Bathyergidae.
CAGAAGCUUUGAGCAGGGCAGGCACUCUCCAGAGUGCGUUUCAGACCGCUGCCCGCCUGUGGGAACUGGGCUGCCUCACAGGCCGGGCUCUGCAGGCGCUCAGUGGGGAACUAGACCGGAAACCUUUAGGGGGUGGCUCUCUGCAUCCUCUGGGACCCAGAUGGGAAGCGGUGGCUUCCUCUGGUGUCCUUAACGAAGAUUCUCGUUCACAUUUCCAAAGUUGCUUUGUUCAGCUUUGCAAGUUAACAAUUCAUGGAUGAGAGCUGCAGAUCUGGUCCCUCCUGACAGUGAACAGCAAGGUUGGGUCAGGGAGGGCAGAGGAGGAGGUGAUGAUCAGCCAUCCGGAGUGGUAGGAGUGGAAUUCAGAUGUCGCAGAGGUUCCCGCCCAGCCAGGCUCCUGGAGGGGAGGGGAGGCUGCGUGUUAUCGCUCAUGCCCAGUAGCCACACGGAACUCAGAAGCUGUCAGCCAGGAUCUGAACUUGCAACCUGAGAGGUGGAUGGUGGUGGGACAUGCUGGUGGGCAGGAGCUGAGGACCUGGGCGGCAGAGCCAGGACAUCCCUCCCUCAUCUUCAGUGUCCCGCUGGAAGUGGAGGAAAGCGAGGCCCAGCACGCGCAGUCCCGGGGGGCUUCACCAUCCAUCUGCUGUGGUCCCGUGGGGCUCUACUCCAGCCCCUCUCACCGGUUGCUAGGCUUCCAUGGACUGAGCUCUGGUGGAAUGAUUGUAACUGAUCCCGAAGCUUGCACAGUGCAUGGUGACCAAACACGGUGGCUCCGCUGGCUCCAUCUGGUACUGACCGCCUCACAGGGUCAGAUGAGGGCUGGAUCCCGCUGGCCAGCCGGGCCUGGGGGGCCCUGAGCUGGG